UACGUAGGGGGCAAGCGUUGUCCGGAAUCAUUGGGCGUAAAGCGCGUGUAGGCGGUUCGAUAAGUCUGCUGUGAAAUCUCCGGGCUUAACUCGGAACGGUCAAGUGAUACUGUCGUGCUAGAGUACAGAAGGGGCAACUGGAAUUCUCGGUGUAGCGGUGAAAUGCGUAGAUAUCGAGAGGAACACCUGCGGCGAAGGCGGGUUGCUGGGCUGAUACUGACGCUGAGGCGCGAAAGCCAGGGGAGCGAACGGG
RNAcentral lists this ribosomal RNA (253 nucleotides) under uncultured bacterium. RNAcentral's name for it is "partial 16S ribosomal RNA". It matches the Rfam family "Bacterial small subunit ribosomal RNA", at positions 524 to 776 of the family's 1533-position model. The record is from RNAcentral.